RNAcentral lists this ribosomal RNA (572 nucleotides) under Colletotrichum sp. 1-SAB-2009a. Its description in RNAcentral is "eukaryotic LSU rRNA". The stretch from base 213 to 366 matches the Rfam family "5.8S ribosomal RNA". The record is from RNAcentral. Lineage: Eukaryota; Fungi; Ascomycota; Sordariomycetes; Glomerellales; Glomerellaceae. RNAcentral also lists the same sequence under 1 other name.
UAACAAGGUCUCCGUUGGUGAACCAGCGGAGGGAUCAUUACUGAGUUUACGCUCUACAACCCUUUGUGAACAUACCUAUAACUGUUGCUUCGGCGGGUAGGGUCUCCGUGACCCUCCCGGCCUCCCGCCCCCGGGCGGGUCGGCGCCCGCCGGAGGAUAACCAAACUCUGAUUUAACGACGUUUCUUCUGAGUGGUACAAGCAAAUAAUCAAAACUUUUAACAACGGAUCUCUUGGUUCUGGCAUCGAUGAAGAACGCAGCGAAAUGCGAUAAGUAAUGUGAAUUGCAGAAUUCAGUGAAUCAUCGAAUCUUUGAACGCACAUUGCGCCCGCCAGCAUUCUGGCGGGCAUGCCUGUUCGAGCGUCAUUUCAACCCUCAAGCUCUGCUUGGUGUUGGGGCCCUACAGCUGAUGUAGGCCCUCAAAGGUAGUGGCGGACCCUCCCGGAGCCUCCUUUGCGUAGUAACUUUACGUCUCGCACUGGGAUCCGGAGGGACUCUUGCCGUAAAACCCCCCAAUUUUCCAAAGGUUGACCUCGGAUCAGGUAGGAAUACCCGCUGAACUUAAGCAUAUA